GGUAACGGCGGUUCCCACUGAGGCCUGACCUUUAGGCAACGUCGGGCGUGGUUAGUACUUGGAUGGGUGACCGCUUGGAAACACCGCGUGCCGUUGUCU
RNAcentral lists this ribosomal RNA (99 nucleotides) under Dendroctonus ponderosae (mountain pine beetle). Lineage: Eukaryota; Metazoa; Arthropoda; Insecta; Coleoptera; Curculionidae. The record is from RNAcentral.